This 327-nucleotide ribosomal RNA is filed under the name uncultured eukaryote. RNAcentral's name for it is "partial 18S ribosomal RNA". It matches the Rfam family "Eukaryotic small subunit ribosomal RNA", at positions 1470 to 1796 of the family's 1831-position model. The record is from RNAcentral.
CCCUUAGAUGUUCUGGGCUGCACGCGCGCUACACUGAAGCGUUCAACGAGUAUUUCACCUUGCCCGGGAGGGUUGGGUAAUCUUUUUAAAACGCUUCGUGAUGGGGAUAGAUUAUUGCAAUUAUUAAUCUUCAACGAGGAAUUCCUAGUAAGCGCGAGUCAUCAGCUCGUGCUGAUUACGUCCCUGCCCUUUGUACACACCGCCCGUCACUCCUACCGAUUGAGUGAUCCGGUGAAUAAUUCGGACUGCAGCAGUGCUUGGUCCUCCGGGCUUUGCAGUGGAAAGUUUAGUGAACCUUAUCACUUAGAGGAAGGAGAAGUCGUAACA